Molecule: long non-coding RNA, 204 nt
Filed under: Homo sapiens (human)
Lineage: Eukaryota; Metazoa; Chordata; Mammalia; Primates; Hominidae
Description: non-protein coding lnc-KLK3-1:2
Source: RNAcentral
GAAGACCUCAGAAAACCUGAUCAACAUGAAAUAUGGACAGUAAGCAAGCCUGGAUCUGAGAGAGAUAUCAUCUUGCAAGGAUGCCUGCUUUACAAACAUCCUUGAAACAACAAUCCAGAAAAAAAAAGGUGUUGCUGUCUUUGCUCAGAAGACACACAGAUACGUGACAGAACCAUGGAGAAUUGCCUCCCAACACUGUUCAGC